This 400-nucleotide ribosomal RNA is filed under the name uncultured bacterium. RNAcentral's name for it is "bacterial SSU rRNA". It matches the Rfam family "Bacterial small subunit ribosomal RNA", at positions 355 to 772 of the family's 1533-position model. The record is from RNAcentral.
UGGGGAAUAUUGGACAAUGGGCGCAAGCCUGAUCCAGCCAUGCCGCGUGAGUGAUGAAGGCCUUAGGGUUGUAAAGCUCUUUUAUCCGGGAAGAUAAUGACUGUACCGGAAGAAUAAGCCCCGGCUAACUUCGUGCCAGCAGCCGCGGUAAUACGAAGGGGGCUAGCGUUGCUCGGAAUCACUGGGCGUAAAGGGCGCGUAGGCGGAUGAUUAAGUCGGAGGUGAAAGCCCAGGGCUCAACCCUGGAAUUGCCUUCGAUACUGAUCGUCUUGAGAGCGGAAGAGGUUAGUGGAACUCCGAGUGUAGAGGUGAAAUUCGUAGAUAUUCGGAAGAACACCAGUGGCGAAGGCGACUAACUGGUCCGUUUCUGACGCUGAGGCGCGAAAGCGUGGGGAUCAAA